Vespa velutina is the source of this 3068-nucleotide long non-coding RNA. RefSeq lists it as uncharacterized. Lineage: Eukaryota; Metazoa; Arthropoda; Insecta; Hymenoptera; Vespidae. The transcript is spliced from 2 exons. The record is from RefSeq and is a predicted model, not a curated record.
UAACUGCAAUGCGAAACAAGGAAAUUUAAGGAGAAAAUUACAGCACCGAACGUGAAUAGGAUAAUAUAAGUAAUUCAUUGUUACUGCUUCGUGACGGUAACGCUUUUGAACUUUGAACCGAGCCAGACUCAUAGACGGCAGAUUCAUCGUCCUCCUUACAAGAACGCAGACACCAACGAUACCGAAGAAGAAAAGGAAUUCGAAAGGGAUCCAUUUUUGAAAAUGACUCGACGAAAUGAACCUUAUAUAGUGAUAUAAAGCCAAUAAAAGCAAAAGGGAGAUGUCUUUUCUCGAGAGAAAAUUCUUUCUUCGAGAAGAUAUGAUUAUCGUCGAUGUGGAAGGAGGAACGUAAUUGAUUUCCAAAAUUAAUUAGUUACCAAUCGAAUAUACGUAAGAACAAGGAGGUAUUCUCUUAUUCGUGAAAAUCAAGAGGUUAUUUGAACACACAGGUACGAUUCUGAUUUUCCACUCAUUCACCUGUAACGACAUUCUUUCAUGAAAUGGAGUUUAUCGAUCUUUCAGAAAUGGAGACCGAGAAUAUAAAGAACGACCUUGUUCUUUAUCUGUUUUCGACUUAUUGACAUCUUUUCGAACGAUUUUGUAUUCUUCGAAAUUCUUUCUAAAUGUUUAUGAAAAAAAAAAAACAAAAAAAAAAAAAAAAGAAAAAAAGAAUUGAUAAAUAUUUUUGCCUCCUUGUAAAACGAGAAAAUUUAAUUUGAUUUUUCCUCGUCUGGGAUCCGGAAAAUAUUAAACGUGUACGAUUAAUAUCUAUUUCGAAGAAUUUCGAAAUUUCUUUAUUUUUAUUUUUUAUUUAAUUUAAUUUUAUUUAAUUAAAAUUUAUUUAUUUAUCUUCUUUUAUUUAUUUAUGUAUUUUUUUUUUCUUUUCUUUUCUUUUCUUCAAAGAAGACGAACUUCAUGAAAGUCGUCAGUGCAAAAAAAGAAAAAAAAAAAAUGAAAAUUCCGCUCUCGGUUACGUUGGACAGAGAUGAAAGAGGGUAACACGAUGAAACAUUUUACGCGGCGCGCCCGGAAAUUCAGCUUUCCGGAUUUCGUUUGGCUUCCGCGGCCGCGAUACGCGUCGUAAUCCGAGUGGCAUUGCGGGUCACUCGCGUCAAAACAUUUCGUGAAACUUUCCUCGUCCUCGUCUAGAGUCGCAAUUUUUUUUCGUUCUUUCUUUCUCUCUCUCUCUCUCUCUCCUCCCCCUCCCUCCCUCCCUCUCUCUUUCUCUAUCUUUUCGCUUUUUUAUGAUUUUAAUUUAGAAAGUCCCUUCGAGUUCUAUCUCGACCCACCUCGCAAAAUUAAAACGGAUCCAGGGCAAUUAUCUUUUACGAGAUCGAACUUAAUCUCGCUAUGGAAAUUAAUUUUGUAAUUUUCAUAUCCAAACUUCUUCCUCUCCGCCUCCUUUUUCUCUCUCCUUCUUCCUUAACGAGUUUUAGACGCGACAUACUUAUUUUCUGGGUCAGAAGUAUAGCCAGUGUUUCUCUAACCGAGCAAGAAAUAUCCCUCUCAGCAGUUUUAUCGCUCGACUUAAUGAAAAAUGAGAGCAUUGUGUAAUAUAAUCAAUAAUAAUAAUUUUUAUCGAGUAGAGAUAGAAUACCGAAGUGAAUAUUCGUAGUUUAUUUGUGUAUAUGUAGAGAGAGAGAGAGAGAGAGAGAGAGAGAGAGAGAGAGAGAGAGAGAGACAGAAAGAGAGGAACAGAGAGAGAGAGAGAGAAUAAUGUGCGUUAAUUAACAGGUAGAGGAUUGCCUAUUAAUUUACAGGCAGACGGUCAUUCGCAUACCAAGAAACAUUUGAAACUGCUGACGUUACAAUGGUUUCGCACCGAAUAGGAUCUUUAUUCGGUAAUUUAACGUUCACUAAGCUAAUCACUGAGCUCCGUCUUAAGCACGUCGUCAUGUCGAUAUAAUGUUGCUCGUAUAAUCGACGCUAAAAAGGAAAGUUCAAUGAGAAUUUCCAAGCUUCAUCGAUUUGCAAGCUCAAGAGAACCUUUUAUGUAUUUAAGGAACGAUCCAGUACUUUUAAUUGAGCGAUAUUUCAUUUCGAAGAAGAAGUUUGCCAUUAAUUACGAGUUCGUUCUUGUGUGAAUACUUUGGUUUGAAAAUUUUCGUUAGUGUCGUUAUGCGGUUUAAUUGAAAAUAAAUUUGCUUUUUUUUUUUCGAUUGUUUAUUUUUUCUUUCUCUCUUUUUUUUUCUUUUUUUCUUUUUUCUUUUCUUUUCUUUACUUUCUUUUUUUUUUUUUUCUUUCUUCUUCUUCUUUUAACUUAUUAUACUUGAAUCAAUCAUUUUUAAGAAAUGUUACGUCAGUAUUGGGAUAAUGGAAUGUAAGGUUGAAAUUUUAUCGUAUUCUGAAAUCAUACAAUUUCUGUGAUGAUCAAAAAUAAAGAGUAAGACGAUAUAGCAGGAUAGAAGGUUUGGGUUUACUGCGGUAAAACUGAACAGGCUCGUAAUUCCCGGUAUUGGCUAGUUCCUCGAGUUUAAUUUCGACUUUCGAAGUCCGACAUCGUAACCACGACGAGUUAAGCCGGAAUAAUAACGUUAGUUUCCAAUUGGUCUACCCUUGAGAAUGAAUAUUUCAAUUUUCUUAAGUUAGGUUAAUUUUAUUAAAGAAAAAGUACCAUGACGAAACCCAUUUCAAAAUGUUUUAUACGUCAUCUUUUUUUUUUCUUUUUUUUUUUUUCCCCUUUAUUUCCUAUUACUCCCAUUAAUGGUUAAUGGAAAUAUUAACCAUAAAUGGUUAAUGGAAAGCAUCUUUAAAUAGAAACAUAAUGUCAAAAGUAAACAGAAUAGAAGUUUUUGUAGCAUCGAAAAAUUAGCCUUUCUUUGGACUUUAUUUUUAAAAAGACACGGAUCCUUACAGCUUUAAAAGAAAAGAACUAGUACUGAAUGGUACGUGCAAUACUUAGCUGGUCUCAUUUCAGAGGAAAAAUACGAAAUGGCUUUAGUACCUGGAAAAUAUUUUUUACAGCACGUUAAAAGUAGUUCACCAAAAGAAAAGAAAAAAACAAAUAGAAAAGAAAAGAAAAAGAAACAAAAAAAAAAAAAAAGAAGGAAAAGAAACAGGAAUUGCUU